Molecule: ribosomal RNA, 253 nt
Filed under: uncultured bacterium
Lineage: Bacteria
Description: partial 16S ribosomal RNA
Rfam family: Bacterial small subunit ribosomal RNA
Source: RNAcentral
UACAGAGGUCUCAAGCGUUGUUCGGAUUCAUUGGGCGUAAAGGGCGCGUAGGCGGCGGGGUAAGUCGGGUGUGAAAUCUCAGAGCUCAACUCUGAAAUGGCACUUGAUACUGCUCUGCUAGAGGACUGGAGAGGAGAUUGGAAUUCACGGUGUAGCAGUGAAAUGCGUAGAUAUCGUGAGGAAGGCCGGUGGCGAAGGCGGAUCUCUGGACAGUUCCUGACGCUGAGGCACGAAGGCCAGGGGAGCAAACGGG